CUAUAUUAGUUAGAAGUGAGGAAUUCAAUUUGUGCUCGCCACUUGCAUCAUGGCUUUGAGGAUAUCAGCUGAACAGAAUAUACAAGUGCAUUCAACCACAGAUUUAAAUCCAACCGCUCCCGCUUCAAAAGGUAUGUUUCGGCAUUUUGUUUUCUAGUAAUUUCUGGCGACUAUUUAUUUUGAGAAUGAUAUGGAGAGGAUACAAAUGUACUGGUGGAUGUUGGGCUAUGCCGGUGUGCAUUUGGCAGUUGUUCCAUUGUUGGAGGUCCUCUUCCUGCUCUCUCCUCUCCAAAUUGGCUCAAGAUGCUGCUCCUCUUUGGAAGGAGCGAAUCAGGAGACUUUUCGAAGGGCCGGACUCUUCCGUCGACUCUGUUCUUGCGGAUUUUAAGCGUGUAGAUGGACUUUGUUGAUGUUAGAACGGAAACUGCAAGCUUGGCCUGCAACCUUACUGGGAAAUCAGUCUGCUCAAGGCGUGCGGGACUUGUACCUCGAUUGGCCCUCCAAUCUUUAAAAGUCUCAAAUUUUUAUUUUAAUGUCACCGUCCAAGGGUCCGAUAUUGGCAAGUGAUAGUCCAUGGAUGACGGGUGGAGAAAAAGCAUGA
RNAcentral lists this long non-coding RNA (601 nucleotides) under Eucalyptus grandis. Its description in RNAcentral is "long non-coding RNA (EGRA_LNC006043)". The record is from RNAcentral. Lineage: Eukaryota; Viridiplantae; Streptophyta; Magnoliopsida; Myrtales; Myrtaceae.